UACGUAGGGGGCAAGCGUUGUCCGGAUUCAUUGGGCGUAAAGAGCGUGUAGGCGGCCAGGUAGGUCGGUUGUGAAAACUGGAGGCUCAACCUUCAGAGGUCGACCGAAACCAUCUGGCUAGAGUCCGGGAGAGGAGAGUGGAAUUCCUGGUGUAGCGGUGAAAUGCGUAGAUAUCUGGAGGAACACCGGUGGCGAAGGCGGCAUUCUGGACCAUUACUGACGCUGAGGAGCGAAAGCCAGGGGAGCAAACGGG
RNAcentral lists this ribosomal RNA (253 nucleotides) under uncultured bacterium. RNAcentral's name for it is "partial 16S ribosomal RNA". It matches the Rfam family "Bacterial small subunit ribosomal RNA", at positions 524 to 776 of the family's 1533-position model. The record is from RNAcentral.